RNAcentral lists this ribosomal RNA (425 nucleotides) under uncultured bacterium. RNAcentral describes it as "partial 16S ribosomal RNA". It matches the Rfam family "Bacterial small subunit ribosomal RNA", at positions 354 to 796 of the family's 1533-position model. The record is from RNAcentral.
GUGGGGAAUCUUGCGCAAUGGGCGAAAGCCUGACGCAGCCAUGCCGCGUGAAUGAUGAAGGUCUUAGGAUUGUAAAAUUCUUUCACCGGGGACGAUAAUGACGGUACCCGGAGAAGAAGCCCCGGCUAACUUCGUGCCAGCAGCCGCGGUAAUACGAAGGGGGCUAGCGUUGCUCGGAAUUACUGGGCGUACAGGGCGCGUAGGCGGACAGUUUAGUCAGAGGUGAAAGCCCAGGGCUCAACCUUGGAAUUGCCUUUGAUACUUGCUGGCUGUGGUACUGAAGAGGUGAGUGGAAUUACAAGUGAAGAGGUGAAAUUCGAAGAUAUUCGGAAGAACACCCGUGGCGAAGGCUACUCACUGACCCGUUACUGACGCUGAGGCGUGAAAGCGUGGGGAGCAAACAGGAUUAGAAACCCCGGUAGUCC